UUNUGAACUGGGUGACUAGAGUGUGUCAGAGGGAGGUAGAAUUCCACGUGUAGCAGUGAAAUGCGUAGAGAUGUGGAGGAAUACCGAUGGCGAAGGCAGCCUCCUGGGAUAACACUGACGUUCAUGCCCGAAAGCGUGGGUAGCAAACAGGAUUAGAUACCCUGGUAGUNCACGCCCUAAACGAUGUCGAUUAGCUGUUGGGCAGCAUGACUGCUUAGUAGCGAAGCUAACGCGUGAAAUCGACCGCCUGGGGAGUACGGUCGCAAGAUUAAAACUCAAAGGAAUUGACGGGGACCCGCACAAGCGGUGGAUGAUGUGGAUUAAUUCGAUGCAACGCGAAGAACCUUACCUGGUCUUGACAUGUACGGAACCCUCCGGAGACGGAGGGGUGCCUUCGGGAGCCGUAACACAGGUGCUGCAUGGCUGUCGUCAGCUCGUGUCGUGAGAUGUUGGGUUAAGUCCCGCAACGAGCGCAACCCUUGUCAUUAGUUGCCAUCAUUAAGUUGGGCACUCUGAUGAGACUGCCGGUGACAAGCCGGAGGAAGGUGGGGAUGACGUCAAGUCCUCAUGGCCCUUAUGACCAGGGCUUCACACGUCAUACAAUGGUCGGUACAGAGGGUAGCCAAGCCGCGAGGUGGAGCCAAUCUCACAAAACCGAUCGUAGUUCGGAUUGCACUCUGCAACUCGAGUGCAUGAAGUCGGAAUCGCUAGUAAUCGCAGGUCAGCAUACUGCGGUGAAUACGUUCCCGGGUCUUGUACACACCGCCCGUCACACCAUGGGAGUGGGGGAUACCAGA
This 797-nucleotide ribosomal RNA is filed under the name uncultured bacterium. Its description in RNAcentral is "bacterial SSU rRNA". It matches the Rfam family "Bacterial small subunit ribosomal RNA", at positions 626 to 1424 of the family's 1533-position model. The record is from RNAcentral.